AGAGUUUGAUCAUGGCUCAGAUUGAACGCUGGCGGCAGGCCUAACACAUGCAAGUCGAGCGGUAGCACAGAGAGCUUGCUCUCGGGUGACGAGCGGCGGACGGGUGAGUAAUGUCUGGGAAACUGCCUGAUGGAGGGGGAUAACUACUGGAAACGGUAGCUAAUACCGCAUAAUGUCGCAAGACCAAAGUGGGGGACCUUCGGGCCUCAUGCCAUCAGAUGUGCCCAGAUGGGAUUAGCUAGUAGGUGGGGUAACGGCUCACCUAGGCGACGAUCCCUAGCUGGUCUGAGAGGAUGACCAGCCACACUGGAACUGAGACACGGUCCAGACUCCUACGGGAGGCAGCAGUGGGGAAUAUUGCACAAUGGGCGCAAGCCUGAUGCAGCCAUGCCGCGUGUGUGAAGAAGGCCUUCGGGUUGUAAAGCACUUUCAGCGGGGAGGAAGGCGAUAAGGUUAAUAACCUUGUCGAUUGACGUUACCCGCAGAAGAAGCACCGGCUAACUCCGUGCCAGCAGCCGCGGUAAUACGGAGGGUGCAAGCGUUAAUCGGAAUUACUGGGCGUAAAGCGCACGCAGGCGGUCUGUCAAGUCGGAUGUGAAAUCCCCGGGCUCAACCUGGGAACUGCAUUCGAAACUGGCAGGCUAGAGUCUUGUAGAGGGGGGUAGAAUUCCAGGUGUAGCGGUGAAAUGCGUAGAGAUCUGGAGGAAUACCGGUGGCGAAGGCGGCCCCCUGGACAAAGACUGACGCUCAGGUGCGAAAGCGUGGGGAGCAAACAGGAUUAGAUACCCUGGUAGUCCACGCCGUAAACGAUGUCGAUUUGGAGGUUGUGCCCUUGAGGCGUGGCUUCCGGAGCUAACGCGUUAAAUCGACCGCCUGGGGAGUACGGCCGCAAGGUUAAAACUCAAAUGAAUUGACGGGGGCCCGCACAAGCGGUGGAGCAUGUGGUUUAAUUCGAUGCAACGCGAAGAACCUUACCUGGUCUUGACAUCCACAGAACUUUCCAGAGAUGGAUUGGUGCCUUCGGGAACUGUGAGACAGGUGCUGCAUGGCUGUCGUCAGCUCGUGUUGUGAAAUGUUGGGUUAAGUCCCGCAACGAGCGCAACCCUUAUCCUUUGUUGCCAGCGGUUAGGCCGGGAACUCAAAGGAGACUGCCAGUGAUAAACUGGAGGAAGGUGGGGAUGACGUCAAGUCAUCAUGGCCCUUACGACCAGGGGCUACACACGUGCUACAAUGGCAUAUACAAAGAGAAGCGACCUCGCGAGAGCAAGCGGACCUCAUAAAGUAUGUCGUAGUCCGGAUUGGAGUCUGCAACUCGACUCCAUGAAGUCGGAAUCGCUAGUAAUCGUAGAUCAGAAUGCUACGGUGAAUACGUUCCCGGGCCUUGUACACACCGCCCGUCACACCAUGGGAGUGGGUUGCAAAAGAAGUAGGUAGCUUAACCUUCGGGAGGGCGCUUACCACUUUGUGAUUCAUGACUGGGGUGAAGUCGUAACAAGGUAACCGUAGGGGAACCUGCGGUUGGAUCACCU
Molecule: ribosomal RNA, 1529 nt
Filed under: Klebsiella pneumoniae
Lineage: Bacteria; Pseudomonadati; Pseudomonadota; Gammaproteobacteria; Enterobacterales; Enterobacteriaceae
Description: bacterial SSU rRNA
Rfam family: Bacterial small subunit ribosomal RNA
Source: RNAcentral